RNAcentral lists this small RNA (208 nucleotides) under Arabidopsis thaliana (thale cress). RNAcentral's name for it is "ATSL236670". The record is from RNAcentral. Lineage: Eukaryota; Viridiplantae; Streptophyta; Magnoliopsida; Brassicales; Brassicaceae.
AGACUUGACAGUAUCAGGAACUCCAUAGUCUCUGACCUCUACAAAUCCUCCUCCUCCUAAAAAAUCAACAGAAACAACAUUUCAUCAAAAUCCAAUCCUCAUGAUUCAAAGUUGAGUUUCAGAGAUUUUUACCAUCGUGCUUGAAAACACAGACUCUCUUUUGCCUAGAGAAACACAAGAACCCACGCCGAUCAUCCCAAGAAUAAGC